GUAUGUAAUGGAGUAUUACCAACUUGAAAAUAGUGUUCAGGUAAAACCACCAGAGGUGGACAAACAUCAUGAACAACACACAUCCACUUGGGAACACCAAACACCGUUUCAUGCAUUCACUGUAUUAUGCUACUAUAAAAAUAUUAUAACCAUGACAUUGAGUGUAACAGAAAAAAAGGGAACUUCCCAGACUGAAUGAGUUGAAAUUUGGUUCCCAAGAGAGCACUUAAAGAUGUACUUGUGAUGACAUUCCCCAUUGUUUGCAGCCUGCAAUAUUCAUGACAAACAUUAGUUCAUGCUUCACUGUGACUGAAAUAAUUAGAUGAAAGAUUGCAUAGAGAUUAUACUUCUAGCUUUAAUUUUAAAAAUUAUUAACACUGGAUAGCCUACAUGAAGAAUAGGUUUAGGCUUGAAGAGAUUAGGAAUGCCUCAUAUUGUCAACUAUAGUUACCAAAUGUAUUAUUACAAAAAAAUUUAUUCCAUGACCAUGGAAAGAUCUCUUAAGCAAAUCGACUAUACCAACCAGAUUCUCCAGUACAAUGAGAAACAAUCUGGCUACUUAGAACUGAAAGUUAGAGUUGAACCAGAACCCUCUCAGUUCUUACUACCAGAACUGUUAUUGAAGUGAGGUCUGAACUGUGGCUGAUUGGCUACCUACUAGUAUGUGCAUUUAUACCCGAAUCCAAAUGUUCAGCAGGGCCCACCCAACUUGUUAUGCCAGUUUUCAGUCUAUAUCAUGUAAUUAAAUUUGAGUUUUUACUAGGAAAGUGAAAACAUUAUCGAUUUCCACUUACAGUGAUACGAUUUAGUACUUUAUUUCAGCUAACAAACCUGGAAGGGAGACACUCUAGACUCCGUGCGUAUGGUAGACCUGGGAGCAAAACUGUGCUCAUGAUCUCUAACAAUCCUUCUGGUUCGAUGGGAGUGAUGAAUCCCCAAUGAUUUUUAUGCACCACAGCGGAUAAUGGAGCAGCUAUACGAGUGUGUGCUGUUACUUGCACUAAUGUAAGAAACAAAUCAUGGGCUUCAAAGAAAUCAGCAAGUAGCUGUCUUGUCACUUCUCUACCAUUCUCUAACAAUCAGAAGUAUGUUUUGCAUUAAAUUUUCCUCCUUCAAGUAUGUCACUGUGUUUUUAGAAUGGAUAAAAAGAACUAAUACAGAGGAAUAAAACUUCAGAGGGUAACAAUAUUGGUCAGAAGCAUUACUCAAUUUAAGAGAAGGUUACAAUUGUAGUAUGUUUGAUCUCUAUAGGGCAGCCAGUAUCAUACAAAGCACAAGGCUCGGCUAGAAAUGGGCCGAAAAAGAAGAGGAACCCAGAGACUGAGAUUUUCACCUGGCAAAAUCAAGGUGUCCACUCACGUUACUCACCCCAACCUACGAUCAGAAUAUCAAUUGCAUCAGCACAUAUGUUUUUAUGAACAUACAGACUCAUUGGUUUGAGGAAACGUGCCAAGUCUUCCUCGGCUCACAUCAUGUAAGCAGUUGUGUGUGGAGGAACUAUUUGGUUUGUGUAACGUCCCUACCAAUAUGUGCAGAAAAACUGUUAACAAAGGGCAAGGCCGUAAAAAAAACGAUCAUCACUGUGACUUCUACACAUAACAUCUAAUGUCGCAUUUGAGAGUACCAUUACCAUCAGAACGGUUUGUUGAGCUAACUGAAGCUUACUUUGUAUAAUGGUAAAAACAUCAACAUAUUUGCUACUACAAGACUACGUAGCAUCAGAAACAACAAACACAAAUGUUCAAAACCGUCUCUCCAGUCCAUAAAUUACCUGUGCAGAUUGUAGAACUGGGCAACUUUGAACUAGAAAUUCGUCAAAUGAUGCACCAUGCCCUGAAAUUCAGCCGUGUGCCAUAGGAACCUGCGAUCACGGAACACAGUGCUGCAGGUAAGCCACUCUCGAGCACUACAAGCUCCUGAAACACGAUUGAUACCGGCGAGAAACUCCGGGCUCGUCUAUUUCGUCGAACACCUACCGCGCCCUUGCGAGAGCAGACGACUUCGCCUGGGUAAAUCACGCGUCCGAGGCCAGGCAAUGGCAGCCCACGCCCCGCGAUCCAUCCAGUGCAAGACCGGGCCGCGCAGGAUCACACGCGGGAGCGGCU
Molecule: long non-coding RNA, 2105 nt
Filed under: Triticum aestivum (bread wheat)
Lineage: Eukaryota; Viridiplantae; Streptophyta; Magnoliopsida; Poales; Poaceae
Description: long non-coding RNA (TAES_LNC003537)
Source: RNAcentral